GAUCUUCACAGCCGUCAACUCGCUGUCUAUGGACGUGAAACAAUGCGUAAACUUUUUGCAGCUAAUGUUCUCAUCUCUGGAUUGCAAGGCCUUGGCGCUGAAAUUGCAAAGAACCUUAUCCUUGCGGGUGUGAAGUCUGUUACUUUGCACGAUGAAGGAAAUGUGGAAUUGUGGGAUCUAUCUAGCAAUUUUAUCUUCACAGAGGAGGAUGUUGGGAAGAAUAGGGCACUUGCAUCUGUCCAGAAGUUGCAAGAGCUAAACAAUACUGUCAUUAUCUCUACGUUGACGGAUGCUUUGACUAAAGAACAACUUUCCAAUUUUCAGGCCGUUGUAUUUACAGAUAUCAGCUUAGAGAAGGCUUUUGAAUUUGAUGAUUACUGUCAUAUGCACCAGCCUCCUAUUGCUUUCAUCAAAACUGAAGUUCGAGG
Molecule: unclassified non-coding RNA, 428 nt
Filed under: Hevea brasiliensis (rubber tree)
Lineage: Eukaryota; Viridiplantae; Streptophyta; Magnoliopsida; Malpighiales; Euphorbiaceae
Source: RNAcentral